RNAcentral lists this unclassified non-coding RNA (213 nucleotides) under plant metagenome. RNAcentral's name for it is "partial contains small subunit ribosomal RNA, internal transcribed spacer 1, and 5.8S ribosomal RNA". The record is from RNAcentral.
UUUCCGUAGGUGAACCUGCGGAAGGAUCAUUCAUAACAAGUGUUUUAUGGCACUUUUUUAAAUCCAUAUCCACCUUGUGUGCAAUGUCAGGGUUGAUUUUUCUCUCGAGAGGAUCAACCCCAAACAUCAACUAUAUCGCAACUCUUUGUCUGAAAAAUAUUAUGAAUAAAACAAUUCAAAAUACAACUUUCAACAACGGAUCUCUUGGCUCUC